AUUGAACGCUGGCGGCAUGCCUUACACAUGCAAGCCGAACGGUAACGGGCCUUCGGGUGCCGACGAGUGGCGAACGGGUGAGUAAUACAUCGGAACGUGCCCGAUCGUGGGGGAUAACGAGGCGAAAGCUUUGCUAAUACCUCAUACGAUCUACGGAUGAAAGCAGGGGACCGCAAGGCCUUGCGCGGACGGAGCGGCCGAUGGCAGAUUAGGUAGUUGGUGGGAUAAAAGCUUACCAAGCCGACGAUCUGUAGCUGGUCUGAGAGGAUGAUCAGCCACACUGGGACUGAGACACGGCCCAGACUUCUACGGGAGGCAGCAGUGGGGAAUUUUGGACAAUGGGCGCAAGCCUGAUCCAGCCAUGCCGCGUGCAGGAUGAAGGCCUUCGGGUUGUAAACUGCUUUUGUACGGAACGAAAAGCCUUCUUUUAAUACAGGAGGGUCAUGACGGUACCGUAAGAAUAAGCACCGGCUAACUACGUG
This 482-nucleotide ribosomal RNA is filed under the name uncultured bacterium. RNAcentral's name for it is "partial 16S ribosomal RNA". It matches the Rfam family "Bacterial small subunit ribosomal RNA", at positions 30 to 507 of the family's 1533-position model. The record is from RNAcentral.